Molecule: transfer RNA, 74 nt
Rfam family: tRNA
About the family: Transfer RNA (tRNA) molecules are approximately 80 nucleotides in length. Their secondary structure includes four short double-helical elements and three loops (D, anti-codon, and T loops).
GUCUCUGUAGCUCAAUAGAAGAGCGCUCCUCUGUGGAGGGAGUGGUUGGGGGUGCAAGUCCCCUCAGAGACCCA